UGGGCAGUCCUCCAGCGUCAGAUGACACAACGUCAGUCAAGUUUUCAAAACAACAUCGGUGUGGUGCUGGGGGGAGAAUAAGAAGAAAACGAUGAUGACUUCAACUGUGGCAGAGAGAGCCAUGGGGGCAAUCCUUGGAGCAGCUGUGGCAGACGCAGCAGCCCAGCCCAUGCAUUGGAUUUACAACCCAGAGCGACUGAAGGAGGUUCUGUCAGACCUGGAACCAUGUCCAGAGUUCCGCCCUCAGUCUGCUAACCCGUUCUACCUCAGAGAGACCGGAGAGCAGACGUGCUACGGAGACCAGGCCUACGUACUGCUAGAGUCACUCAGUCAAUGUGGAGAUGUGAACGUGGAGGACUUGACCAAGCGCAUCUACAAGUUCUUUGGCCCUGACACUGUGUAUGAUCUUCCUCUCAAUAACCCAUACAGACAAAAGAACGGUCCUAAAGCUGUCCUGCCCAUUGAUGGCCCUUGGAGAAACGCAAGCCUCAAAGCCUUCAUGAGGAACGUGGAUGCAGGAAACGAAAAGACAGGAUGUGAUGUGGACUGUCAGAUGGACGGGGUCACCAAGAUGGCUCCCGUUGUGGCGAUGUUUGCUGGGAUGCCGGAGAUGUUGGAGAAGGUGGAGACGGCCAUACGUGUAACCCAGAACAACGAUAUGUGUGUGGCCAUGACACUGGCUGCAGCAAGGUUCCUGGAGCAUUUCAUCCUGAAUGGUUCUGACCCCAAUGCUCUGGACUCAGUGUUGGCCCAGCUCAACGACCCAAACAGAAACAACCCUCAGGACCUGGACAGGGAUGUUAUUGCACAAAUCUGUCAGGUGAAGGACAACUUAUCCAAGCAUUCCCCAGAGCUGAUACCUGCUGUGUUCACUAACACAUGAGCCUUGCCAGGUGCAUUCCAGGGAGCACUGCACGGGGUCCUGACAAUGAGCCAGCUGGAGGAGGCAGUCAGGGGAACCAUGCGCCACGGGGGAUGCACCGCCAGUAGGGCCUCAUUCAUAGGGGCCUGUUUUGGAGCACAGACAGGUCUUCAGGGAAUCCCAGAGUCUUGGAAGAACAGGACCCUCAAAUAUCCUGUGCUGCUGGGACUGGCUAAGAAAGUUGUAGGCUCACAGCAAGCCUAGACUUGGCACAUCGCGUUAAAGGCAGUUAUGCAAAUGUAUUUACUAAAUUAAUGUAUUGCUAAAGCUGAUUAACAUAACCAGUCCAACAUAUUAUUUGGGAAUAUGAAUUAUGUAUUGAUGAUGUUUUUUGGUAGUUUUUUUUGCUUUGUAAGUCCAUUUUAUAACACAGUUGUACUUUGACAAAACAGUUUAUGAAAGUUACAUUCUAAAGUAACAUUUGACGGAUGUAACUUGAACCUUGUUGCUCUGUCACAGCUGCAGUAUGUUGCAAAAUGAUGAGUAUAUGGAAUAUGGAAUAGUCUUGUCGUGUAUACAUUAGGAUUAAAAGAGGAAGGAUACUUGUGAACCAUUUUUGAGGUAACUGAGUACAUCAAAUGAAUUAACAUAGCAUCUCAACUAAAUGAGGAGGAUUACAAAUAGCAUGUGUGUGUUGUGGUGCUUGCAUGUAUAGGAAAGUAUUAACUUAUCGCAUAUUGCAGUUGUUUACUUCACCUUAGCUACAGCUCUGAAAUGCUGUCUCUAUGGUUUUGGGUGGUUUUUCAGUUGAAAUAACCUCUGCUCCGGUUAGAGAAACUGAGGGCUUGCAAUAAUUUAAAGAACAGAAAUGUAUUUUGCAAAAGAGGAAAUGAAUUUCAGCGAGUUUCAAUACUCUCUAUCUCUUUCUCUCUCUGGCAUGGGUUCUGUUGAAGUGAAAUAACAGAGACACAAAGAUUUACCGUGCUGAAACAACUGAAGGGACUGCAACUUAUCCCUCCCUCAAAGGAGUUAGUCUGUUUUCUUAAAAUUGCUGACUUCCAUAUUACCAUGUUCUCAAUGGCUCCUCUGAUGAUUUUGAAUGUACUCUCUGCAUAAAAUGAAGCCAAUGUCUUAA
Oncorhynchus gorbuscha (pink salmon) is the source of this 1997-nucleotide RNA transcript. It is a transcript of the gene named crystallin J1B-like, with no coding region annotated. The record is from RefSeq and is a predicted model, not a curated record. The transcript is spliced from 10 exons. NCBI's taxonomy places the organism in Eukaryota, Metazoa, Chordata, Actinopteri, Salmoniformes, Salmonidae.